Oncorhynchus keta (chum salmon) is the source of this 1072-nucleotide long non-coding RNA. RefSeq lists it as uncharacterized. NCBI's taxonomy places the organism in Eukaryota, Metazoa, Chordata, Actinopteri, Salmoniformes, Salmonidae. The transcript has 3 exons. The record is from RefSeq and is a predicted model, not a curated record.
CACACUAUUGGGGAAUGAACCUACAUACAAUGCUACCAUGCUGAUCUUAAAAUAUAUAUUUAACUUGGCGAGUCAGGUCAGUACUAAUUAUUAUUUACAAAUGACGGCCUACACAGACCAAACCCUAACCAGGAUGACGCUGGGCCAAUUGUGCCCCAUCCUAUGGGACUCCUGAUCACUGCCAGUUGUGAUACAGCCCGGGAUCGAUCCAGGGUCUGUAGUGACACCUCUAGCACUGUGAGGAAAGCGCCUUAGACCGCUGCGCCACUCGGGAGCCAGAACUGAUUCUAGAACCCAUCUAAAACAACCAGGUGUUCUACAUUACAUCACUACUAUGCUGAUUGAUUCUAGAACCCAUCUAAAACAACCAGGUGUUCUACAUUACAUCACUACUAUGCUGAUUGAUUCUAGAACCCAUCUAAAACAACCAGGUGUUGUACAUUACAUCACUACUAUGCUGAUUGAUUCUAGAACCCAUCUAAAACAACCAGGUGUUCUACAUUACAUCACUACUAUGCUGAUUGAUUCUAGAACCCAUCUAAAACAACCAGGUGUUCUACAUUACAUCACUACUAUGCUGAUUGAUUCUAGAACCCAUCUAAAACAACCAGGUGUUCUACAUUACAUCACUACUAUGCUGAUUGAUUCUAGAACCCAUCUAAAACAACCAGGUGUUCUACAUUACAUCACUACUAUGCUGAUUGAUUCUAGAACCCAUCUAAAACAACCAGGUGUUCUACAUUACAUCACUACUAUGCUGAUUGAUUCUAGAACCCAUCUAAAACAACCAGGUGUUCUACAUUACAUCACUACUAUGCUGAUUGAUUCUAGAACCCAUCUAAAACAACCAGGUGUUGUACAUUACAUCACUACUAUGCUGAUUGAUUCUAGAACCCAUCUAAAACAACCAGGUGUUCUACAUUACAUCACUACUAUGCUGAUUGAUUCUAGAACCCAUCUAAAACAACCAGGUGUUCUACAUUACAUCACUACUAUGCUGAUUGAUUCUAGAACCCAUCUAAAACAACCAGGUGUUGUACAUUACAUCACUACUAUGCUGAUUGAUUCUAGA